Molecule: ribosomal RNA, 440 nt
Filed under: uncultured bacterium
Lineage: Bacteria
Description: partial 16S ribosomal RNA
Rfam family: Bacterial small subunit ribosomal RNA
Source: RNAcentral
CCUACGGGCGGCAGCAGUGGGGAAUAUUGCACAAUGGGCGAAACCCUGAUGCAGCGACGCCGCGUGAGUGAAGAAGUAAUUCGGUAUGUAAAGCUCUAUCAGCAGGGAAGAAAAUGACGGUACCUGAGUAAGAAGCCACGGCUAACUACGUGCCAGCAGCCGCGGUAAUACGUAGGGGGCAAGUGUUAUCCGGAUUUACUGGGUGUAAAGGGAGCGUAGACGGCAGUGCAAGUCUGGAGUGAAAGGCGGGGGCUCAACCCCCGGACUGCUCUGGAAACUGUACGGCUGGAGUGCAGGAGAGGUAAGUGGAAUUCCUGGUGUAGCGGUGAAAUGCGUAGAUAUUAGGAGGAACACCAGUGGCGAAGGCGGCUUACUGGACUAUAACUGACGUUGAGGCUCGAAAGCGUGGGGAGCAAACAGGAUUAGAUACCCGUGUAGUC